AGAUCCAAACCGACAAUACUA
Molecule: unclassified non-coding RNA, 21 nt
Filed under: Dictyostelium discoideum
Lineage: Eukaryota; Evosea; Eumycetozoa; Dictyosteliales; Dictyosteliaceae
Source: RNAcentral